ACUGUUUGUCAGGCACCAUUCAAAGCACCAUACACAGCCUCCAUGGUCCCUUAAGACCUGUAGAUCCUUGAGGGGAGGAACACUGUAGUGCUCUUGGGUUCCCUGGGGCACCAAGUGUUGCUGUGCACAUAGGAGACAUUUGGUACUCAAUUGAUUAUUAUAUCAUCCAAGUUCUUCAGUGGUAAUGAGAUGCUAGUAGCAUUCUUGUGCUCAUUACACAGAUGGUAAAAUAAAAAUUAAGAAUAAUACAAAAAAUGGGGCCUCUGGCUGGCUCAGUCAAUAGAGCGUGUGACUCUUGAUCUUGGAAUUAUAAAUUUGAGCCCCAUGUUGGCUGUAGAGAUUAUUUAAAAAUAAAAUCUUAAAAAAAAAAAAGAAUAACACAAGAAAACAAGCUAAAUUAUUUGCCAGAGGCCACUUUUUACAGUUGUCAUCAAAGCUGGAUUUAUACUUGGGGCUUCUUAACCUCUAGUCCUUGGCUUAGAUUUCAAAGCGAUACCUCUUCUUCCAAAUAUGUGAGGUAACUGUAAUUGCUACAUAGCCAGUCGUUAUAGGGAUGCUAAAAUGUUAUAGCUACAACUAUGCCACCUGUAAUAAGAACCUUGAUGGAAACUCUAGACACUAUUUUAAAUAUGCCACAAGUUUUGUUUCCCCUACCUUUACAUAAAUGAAUUUUUUUAAGAAACAAGGAGAUAUUUUAUUGCAUUUGAUAAUACUACCAUAAGCCUUAGAAAAGCUCAACUCCUGUAGGCACACAUCCAAGGAACAGUGGUAAAGAAGAAUUCAAAGUAAAACCAGAUGUUAACAUGGUGUCCAUCCCUUUGUUGCAAAUCUGCACAGUUGGGUUAGAGGGUGUCCAUGCUCACGCCCAUUCUUUGUCAUGAACUUCCACUUGUUAGAUGGUUCAUGCUCGUAUGGACACCAAUGACUCAGUGGACACACACAUAUUGCAUAAGGAGGAUAAACUGGAAGGAAAAUAUCCUAUGAUUGAUAGUGGCUAUUUUUACAUGGUAGGAUAUCAGUGUUUUCAAAUCUUCUACAUUUGAUUUUAAGUCAAAGGAAUAGUGAAUAAAUACAAUAGGAUACUUUGCCUGGGAUAGAAUAGGUACCCCUAAUAAAGUCUGCUUUAUUUUAUUUAUUUACUUUUUUACUAAAGUUUGCUUUAAAUCAUAUUCAAAGCCUUUUUUCACAAGUGUUUUCUCUCUAUUAUUUCUAUUAUUUUUUAUUGAAGGAUAAUCUUUUUAAAGAUUUUAUUUAUUUAUUCAUGAGAUACAGAGAGAGAGAGCGAGAGAGAGAGAGAGAGGCAGAGACACAGGCAGAGGGAGAAGCAGGUUCCAUGCUGGGAGCCCGAUGUGGGACUCCCAGGGACCCUGGGAUCACACCCUGAGCCAAAGGCAGAGGCUCACCCACUGAGCCACCCAGGCAUCCCUAUUGAAGGAUAAUUAAUGUACAGUGUUAUAUUAGUUUUGGGUGUACAAUAUGAUUAUACAAUUCUAUAUAUCACUCAGUGCUCAUCAAGAUAAGUAAGUGUACUUUUAAUCCCCUUGUUCUAUUUUACUCAUCCCCUCCCCUCACCUCCCCUCUGGUAACCACCAGUUUGUUCCUGCAUUUAAGAUCUUUUUUUUGUUUUGUUUUGUUUCUUUUUUCCCUUUGUUCAUUUGUUUUGUCUCAUAAAUUUCACAUAUGAGUGAAAUCAUAUAGUAUUUGUCUUUCUCUGACUGAUUUAUUUCACUUAGCAUUAUAACCUAUAGGUCUAUCUAUGUUGUUGCAAAUGGGAGAUUUCAUUAUUUUUUAUACCUGAGUAAUAUUUUAUGAUAUAUAUACUGCAUCUAUAUAUACAUACCACGUAUUCUUUAUCCAUUUAUCUGUCGAUGAAUGCUUGGGUUGCUUCCAUAUCUUGGGUAUUAUAAAUAAUGCUGCAGUAUACAUAGGGCUGCAUAUAUCUUUUUGAAUUUGUGUUUUCAUUUACUUUGGGUAAAUAUCUCCUAGGGGGAUUACUGGAUCAUAUGGCAGUUCUAUUUUUAAUUUUUUGAGGAAACUUCCACUGUUUUUCACAGUGGCUGCACCAGCUUGUGUUCCCACCAGUAGUGGAUCAAGGUUCCUUUUUCUCCACAUCCUCACCAACCCUUAUUAUUUUUCAUGUUUUGAUUUUAGCCAUUGUGUAAAGAAAUAUGUCACUGUGGUUUUAAUUUCAUGUUCUUGAUGGUGAGUGAUGUUGAGCAUCUUUUCAUGUGUCUGUUGACCAUCUGUAUGUCUUCUUUAGAAAAAUGUCUAUUCAGGUCCUCUGCCCAUUUUAAUAUAUAUAUAUAUAUAUAUAUAUAUAUAUAUAUAUAUAAAAUAUUUAAAAAUUUUUUUAGAUUGUAUUUAUUAUGUGUCUGGUGAAAAUGGUCCAGUUUCAUUUAUUUGCAUAUAGCUGUCUAGUUUUCCCAGCAUAUGAAGAUACUGUCUUUUUCCCAUUGUAAGUAUUCAUGUAUCUUUUGUCUUAGAUUAAUUGACCAUAUAAGUGUGGCUUUAUUUCUGGACCCUCUACUCUGUUCCAUUGAUGGAUCUAUUUUUGUGCCAGUAUCACUGUUUUGAUUACAUAAAGGAAAUGAUUUUUUUUUUUUUUUUUUUUUUUUUUUUUUUUAAAGGAAAUGAUUUUUAAGCAGCAUUUUACUUUAGAUCCAGCAGGGGGAGCCAGAUCCUUGUUGAUUAAAAACACCCCCCCCCCCCAAAAAAAAAA
Molecule: long non-coding RNA, 2719 nt
Filed under: Canis lupus familiaris (dog)
Lineage: Eukaryota; Metazoa; Chordata; Mammalia; Carnivora; Canidae
Description: lncRNA (ENSCAFG00845014139.1)
Source: RNAcentral